ACUGGGCUAGGGCAAGGUAGUGAACUCGUUAUCCGUGGCCAUUCGUACUCAUAAUAUUCUAAUGAGAAAAUCAAUGUCGAAACAACAUGUGCAGGGCAGGGCGAUCGGACGUGCAUGGUUCGUUCGUUCAUCUAUGGUUCCCGGGCAAACUACCUUGGACUUACUAGCUCGGUUCUUUAAGUACAAUAACUCAUUCAUUGAUUCUUCGGUCGACAUCCAUCCCCACAUGCAACAAUGGUCCCCGGGCAUAUAAAGUACCUCGGGAAUUCCUUCGUUCGUUCGUGCACCAAUGAAGGAUUGAAUGACAGCGGUGGUCGCUCGUGGGCUGAUGAUUGAACCUCCCGUGCGUUAUUGAAGACUUAGUUCCUGGCCGCUCGUGGACUGAUUGGUUCUACCUUUCAGAAUGAGGUUUCCUACUAGCAUUUAUUGUUGACCUACCUGUGAAUUAAUUACCUAGGGGCCGGACCACCAUGAACGAAGGUCCUACCAUGAUGCACGUACACGAUGGUGAUGGUGAUGGUGAACGAUCGCUCACUUAUUAAAGGUGGUCGCUCGUGGACUGAUGUGCUCCUCAAGGACUAUGUGUUUUUACCUUUCAUUUCAUAAUUAGUCCCUCGCCUAGGAGGUGUGAGCAAGCUUAUAUCCAAGGUCGGGCAAGUUUACGGACGAGGUCGUUCAAGCUUAUGGACUUCAAUCAAUCCCUGUUCGUUGUUGGUUGUUCGAUCAAUAUGUUCUCGUAUAGUAAAUAAAGUAAUAAGAAAAGAAAGAAAAGAAACACUCUAUGAGCGAGCAAAGGCUGCUUUGAUAUCUGUAGUGAAAGCCCUAUUCCGAUUAGUAAUCUCUAUGCCAAUUAGUCUAUUUGGGCAUGUUCCAAUCUAGUGGCGCAGUGCUCUAUCCGCCAAGUAAUGUAUAAUGUGUAGCGGC
RNAcentral lists this long non-coding RNA (924 nucleotides) under Musa acuminata (dwarf banana). Its description in RNAcentral is "long non-coding RNA (MACU_LNC007527)". The record is from RNAcentral. Lineage: Eukaryota; Viridiplantae; Streptophyta; Magnoliopsida; Zingiberales; Musaceae.